AACGAACGCUGGCGGCAUGCCUAACACAUGCAAGUCGAACGAGACCUUCGGGUCUAGUGGCGCACGGGUGCGUAACGCGUGGGAAUCUGCCCUUGGGUUCGGAAUAACAGUUGGAAACGACUGCUAAUACCGGAUGAUGACGUAAGUCCAAAGAUUUAUCGCCCAAGGAUGAGCCCGCGUAGGAUUAGCUAGUUGGUGAGGUAAAGGCUCACCAAGGCGACGAUCCUUAGCUGGUCUGAGAGGAUGAUCAGCCACACUGGGACUGAGACACGGCCCAGACUCCUACGGGAGGCAGCAGUGGGGAAUAUUGGACAAUGGGCGAAAGCCUGAUCCAGCAAGGCCGCGUGAGUGAUGAAGGCCUUAGGGUGGUAAAGCUCUUUUACCCGGGAUGAUAAUGACAGGACCGGGAGAAUAAGCUCCGGCUAACUCCGU
Molecule: ribosomal RNA, 432 nt
Filed under: uncultured bacterium
Lineage: Bacteria
Description: partial 16S ribosomal RNA
Rfam family: Bacterial small subunit ribosomal RNA
Source: RNAcentral